AAUAUUCUUCCUUCUAUACAAGAACACGAGACUUAUAGAAGUCAAAUGAAUAUGGAUUGUAUUGUUUAAAGGAAGUCUUUGUCACUAAUCAUUUAAACUAUUAGUAAUCUUUUCUCAUCAACAUCAACUAUAAAGAAUCAUAUCAAUCAAAGAUUGCAGCCAUUAAAAAUAGGAAGGUAAUUCUAAUCGUGUAUCACAGUAGUUUUUAUAUUCUUUUUUGGAUAGUGGAUUAUAACAAGGAAAAGGUCUCAACUCUCAAGACGUUGUCCCAAAUUGCAUUUAAUAAUAGCAAUAUUUGCUGGGAGGAGCUGGAAUAAAAGAGAAAGCAUGGACAGUUAUUACCAGUCAUCAUGGUUGCCAUUAAGCCACAUUAAAUAUUAAUGGUCUUGAAUAGAUUUAAUCAUUGUUUGAGCAAAUAAUUCAGGCUAUGCUUAAAAA
Non-coding RNA from Arachis ipaensis, 438 nucleotides. The record is from RefSeq and is a predicted model, not a curated record. Lineage: Eukaryota; Viridiplantae; Streptophyta; Magnoliopsida; Fabales; Fabaceae.